RNAcentral lists this ribosomal RNA (468 nucleotides) under uncultured bacterium. Its description in RNAcentral is "partial 16S ribosomal RNA". It matches the Rfam family "Bacterial small subunit ribosomal RNA", at positions 29 to 507 of the family's 1533-position model. The record is from RNAcentral.
AUGAACGCUGGCGGCGUGCUUAACACAUGCACGUCGAACGGUGAACACGGAGCUUGCUCUGUGGGAUCAGUGGCGAACGGGUGAGUAACACGUGAGCAACCUGCCCCUGACUCUGGGAUAAGCGCUGGAAACGGCGUCUAAUACUGGAUAUGUGACGUGACCGCAUGGUCUGCGUUUGGAAAGAUUUUUCGGUUGGGGAUGGGCUCGCGGCCUAUCAGCUUGUUGGUGAGGUAAUGGCUCACCAAGGCGUCGACGGGUAGCCGGCCUGAGAGGGUGACCGGCCACACUGGGACUGAGACACGGCCCAGACUCCUACGGGAGGCAGCAGUGGGGAAUAUUGCACAAUGGGCGCAAGCCUGAUGCAGCAACGCCGCGUGAGGGAUGACGGCCUUCGGGUUGUAAACCUCUUUUAGCAGGGAAGAAGCGAAAGUGACGGUACCUGCAGAAAAAGCGCCGGCUAACUACGUG